UUCUAAAGAAGAAAAAGACUGAAGACCAGCGGAACCAUAAAGCACACACAACAAGCAUGACAACAAUUUCCCUGCACUUCCACGGACCAAGUACGUGCACGCAUGGGCCAGAAGCUGAAAGAUGUCCGUGCAUCUCGAAGACGU
Lytechinus variegatus (green sea urchin) is the source of this 144-nucleotide long non-coding RNA. RefSeq lists it as uncharacterized. The transcript is spliced from 2 exons. NCBI's taxonomy places the organism in Eukaryota, Metazoa, Echinodermata, Echinoidea, Temnopleuroida, Toxopneustidae. The record is from RefSeq and is a predicted model, not a curated record.